UUAUUAAUUCGUGUUUUAAUGUAUAUUCCAUACAGGUAGCUCGCAACAAACGAUCGACAGCACGGUUCGUGUACGUGUACGUGUGGAUUGCUGGAAGGUUGCUGGUAGCUGGUUGCUGGUAGCUGCAGCUGCGGGAAGGGCUGUGUUUCCUCAUCGAUCCGGUACGCCACGAAGCAUCGAAAGCACGGUUCGUGUACGUGUACGUUUGGAUUGCUGGAAGGUAGCUGGUAGCUGGUUGCUGGUAGCUGCAGCUGCGGGAAGGGCUGUGUUUCCUCAUCGUUCCGGUACGCCACGAAGCAUCGAAAGCACGGUUCGUGUACGUGUACGUUUGGAUUGCUGGAAGGUAGCUGGUAGCUGGUUGCUGGUAGCUUCAGCUGCUGGAAGGGCUGUGUUUCCUCAUCGUUCCGAUACGCCACGAAGACCUCAAAUGGGAAAAUGGGACACACACACACUUUGGAUCCUAAAAUACAUAGUAUAAACUAUAUAUCAUCCAAUGGCACCUAUCGCCAACGACGUUAACCACCAGUCGAUAAAUGUAUCGACCAACAUAAUAACCAAUACUCAUAUCAGAACCGAUUUACGACGUCUUAUAUAGUGACUUAAAGAUAUACUUGUAGCAGUAAUAAUAAGACUUGGUUUGUGAAAAUUAUUAAGCCAUAAUUAUGGAAAAAAGUACCAUAAUAUGAAAUAUUCAAUUUAUGGUAAUGAAACAUUUCAGACUCAUUUCAUGGUUCAUUUUGUUUAAAUGAAA
Molecule: long non-coding RNA, 751 nt
Organism: Anopheles arabiensis
Lineage: Eukaryota; Metazoa; Arthropoda; Insecta; Diptera; Culicidae
Exons: 4
Source: RefSeq, a predicted model, not a curated record